UACGUAGGUGGCAAGCGUUGUUCGGAAUUAUUGGGCGUAAAGGGCGCGUAGGCGGUUUGUUAAGUCGGUUGUGAAAGCCCGGGGCUCAACCCCGGAGGGUCAACCGAUACUGGCAGGCUAGAGUACAGAAGAGGUAGCUGGAAUUCCCGGUGUAGCGGUGAAAUGCGUAGAUAUUAGAAGGAACACCGGUGGCGAAGGCGGCUAUCUGGACGAGUACUGACGCUGAGGCGCGAAAGCGUGGGGAUCAAACAGG
This 253-nucleotide ribosomal RNA is filed under the name uncultured bacterium. Its description in RNAcentral is "partial 16S ribosomal RNA". It matches the Rfam family "Bacterial small subunit ribosomal RNA", at positions 524 to 776 of the family's 1533-position model. The record is from RNAcentral.